UAAGACAACCACAUUCACAGGUCAGUUUUC
Molecule: non-coding RNA, 30 nt
Filed under: Mus musculus (house mouse)
Lineage: Eukaryota; Metazoa; Chordata; Mammalia; Rodentia; Muridae
Source: RNAcentral